UACGGAGGGUGCAAGCAUUAAUCGGAUUUAUUGGGCGUAAAGAGGGCGUAGGCGGAGAUGUAAGUCAGAUGUGAAAGCCCAGGGCUCAACCCUGGAACGGCAUUUGAAACUGCACCUCUAGAGGAUAGGCGGAGAAAACGGAAUUCCACAAGUAGCGGUGAAAUGCGUAGAUAUGUGGAAGAACACCGGUGGCGAAAGCGGUUUUCUAGCUUAUUCCUGACGCUGAGGCCCGAAAGCAAGGGGAGCAAAC
RNAcentral lists this ribosomal RNA (250 nucleotides) under uncultured Parachlamydia sp. RNAcentral's name for it is "partial 16S ribosomal RNA". It matches the Rfam family "Bacterial small subunit ribosomal RNA", at positions 524 to 773 of the family's 1533-position model. The record is from RNAcentral. Lineage: Bacteria; Pseudomonadati; Chlamydiota; Chlamydiia; Parachlamydiales; Parachlamydiaceae.